RNAcentral lists this ribosomal RNA (506 nucleotides) under uncultured bacterium. RNAcentral describes it as "bacterial SSU rRNA". It matches the Rfam family "Bacterial small subunit ribosomal RNA", at positions 31 to 518 of the family's 1533-position model. The record is from RNAcentral.
GAACGCUGGCGGCGUGCUUAACACAUGCAAGUCGAACGCGAAAGGGGCUUCGGCUCCGAGUAGAGUGGCGCACGGGUGAGUAACGCGUGGAUGAUCUGCCCUGAUGUUGGGAAUAACAGUUGGAAACGGCUGCUAAUACCGAAUACGCUCCCCUUUCACCAUGGGAGGAAAGACGGCCUCUGCUUGCAAGCUGUCGCAUGAGGAUGAGUCCGCGUCCCAUUAGCUAGUUGGUGAGGUAACGGCCCACCAAGGCGACGAUGGGUAGCCGAUUUGAGAGGAUGAUCGGCCACACUGGAACUGAAACACGGUCCAGACUCCUACGGGAGGCAGCAGUGGGGAAUAUUGCGCAAUGGGCGAAAGCCUGACGCAGCGACGCCGCGUGAGGGAUGAAGGUUCCUUCGGAUCGUAAACCUCUGUCAGAAGGGAAGAAAGCAGCGGGUGCCAAUCAGCCUGCUGUUGACGGUACCUUCAAAGGAAGCACCGGCUAACUCCGUGCCAGCCGCAGC